CAACUUUUAACAACGGAUCUCUUGGUUCUCGCAUCGAUGAAGAACGUAGCAAAGUGCGAUAACUAGUGUGAAUUGCAUAUUCAGUGAAUCAUCGAGUCUUUGAACGCAACUUGCACUCUAUGGUUUUCCGUAGAGUACGCUUGCUUCAGUAUCAUAA
This 157-nucleotide ribosomal RNA is filed under the name Rhizopus stolonifer. RNAcentral's name for it is "5.8S ribosomal RNA". It matches the Rfam family "5.8S ribosomal RNA". From Rfam's summary of the family: 5.8S ribosomal RNA (5.8S rRNA) is a component of the large subunit of the eukaryotic ribosome. It is transcribed by RNA polymerase I as part of the 45S precursor that also contains 18S and 28S rRNA. The record is from RNAcentral. Lineage: Eukaryota; Fungi; Mucoromycota; Mucoromycetes; Mucorales; Rhizopodaceae.